GCGGGCGUAGCUCAAUGGUAGAGCACUUGGUUCCCAACCAAGGUACGUGGGUUCGAUUCCCAUCGCCCGCUCCA
Molecule: transfer RNA, 74 nt
Filed under: Larsenimonas salina
Lineage: Bacteria; Pseudomonadati; Pseudomonadota; Gammaproteobacteria; Oceanospirillales; Halomonadaceae
Also listed under: 1 other name
Description: tRNA-Gly
Rfam family: tRNA
About the family: Transfer RNA (tRNA) molecules are approximately 80 nucleotides in length. Their secondary structure includes four short double-helical elements and three loops (D, anti-codon, and T loops). Further hydrogen bonds mediate the characteristic L-shaped molecular structure. tRNAs have two regions of fundamental functional importance: the anti-codon, which is responsible for specific mRNA codon recognition, and the 3' end, to which the tRNAs corresponding amino acid is attached (by aminoacyl-tRNA synthetases). tRNAs cope with the degeneracy of the genetic code in two manners: having more than one tRNA (with a specific anti-codon) for a particular amino acid; and 'wobble' base-pairing, i.e. permitting non-standard base-pairing at the 3rd anti-codon position.
Source: RNAcentral